CAAACCCCAAUCAAACACACCCUUAGCCUUUACUGUGACUGUCGACCGCGUCGCAUCGCGUGCUCGAAAAAAUUCGUCCCCAACGGCUGUAAUUUCUACGGAAAAAUCUCGAUUCUCAGUCGCUUGUGCUCGGCGAAGCCACUUCGACGGGUUGUUCUCUCAAUUUCUUCUCUCUCUUCCCCUCUUCUCCAUUUUCUUAUUCCUCUUCACUUCAUCAUCCGAGACAGAAAACUCCGACGCCGAGGUUGUCCACGGAUAGUUUCCCCAGUGUCGAGGAAGGUAUUUCAUCGAAGGGUCUCAACAAAGGUAUGGAUUUGAAGACAAAUUGCAAAAGGUCUGUCGUCAUCGAGUCUCGCCAAUUGGAGGGAGUGCGGAUGUGGAGAUUGACGAGAUUUUGGGGGAAUCAAAGCACACGAAUCGGACACACUGCAGCUGUAGCCACCGACGGCUAGCUCUUCACAUGGGGUACGAUUGCGUUGUUCUUCCAAUUUUUUGCAAUUUAUUUCUCCAAUUAUUACCCAGAUUUUUGGCGGAUUGAAUAAUUAGGGUUAAGGUGACCUGAUUUUUAGUAUUAAUUGAAUGGUUUGGGGGUAAUUAAGUACUUGAAUUUGAGAUAGAUUAAUGUAUGGAUUUUACUGUUGGAAGUAUUUGUUAAUUGGUUAAAGUGAUUAAUUUCAUGCAUGAGAGAAAGCUAACGUGAUGGAGGUUGAAGAGAGGGCCUAUAUAAAGGAUCAUCAUCUUAGAUUCUCCCCUGGCUUUGAAAUGGAACGAGAGCUUUAGAAUGCACGGGUUUGGAUAUGAUAGUUGUAGUGAUGAUUAUAAGAUGGUUUACUACAACACGGACAAUGAAUAUGAGCCUGAUUGUGCCGAUACAUGUGUAUUCUGUUAAAAGAAAUCUUUGGAAAAGGGUUGAUGUUUGCCGUUCCGGAGCUUUUGUUAAUGGCGCCAUCCAUUGGUUAGCCAGCAGUAGGGAAGCAGGUUAUCGCUCUGUUAUUGCUGCUUUUGAUUUGGCUGGACGAAAUUCCUCCUCCAAAUGGUAUGGAUGUGGACAAGUUUGUGUUUUCUAUGGGUAUGGUCGAUAUUCACAGCUGUAAUCCAGCGGAUAUUUGGAUUAUGAAGGUGUAUGGCUCGGCUGAUUCUGGAUGAAAAUUAACAUUGCUGCUGAUUA
Molecule: long non-coding RNA, 1168 nt
Organism: Andrographis paniculata
Lineage: Eukaryota; Viridiplantae; Streptophyta; Magnoliopsida; Lamiales; Acanthaceae
Exons: 2
Source: RefSeq, a predicted model, not a curated record